CAGGUUGAUUCUGCCUGACGUGGACGCUAGUUCAUAGGUUAAGCCAUGCAUGUGUAGGCGACAGUUUUGUGGAGCGGCGGAAGGCUCAGUAACGGGCGUCUAUUUGAUCUUCUGAGACGGACAACCUCUGUAACCGGAGCCAAUACGUCAGAGGCACGGUUACCCUGUGGCGGUGGCGUGCGAAAGCAUUGCGCGGAAGAGUAAGGAGCCAUCCCAUCAGUUAGUAAGUAGGGUAAGGGCCUACUUAGACGAAGACGGGUACGGGGAAUUGUGGUUUGAUUCCGGAGAGGGAGCCUGAGAGACGGCUACCAGGUCCAAGGACAGCAGCAGGCGCGAAAAUUACCGAAGCCUCCGGUGAGGGCGGUAGUAAGGAGACGUGGAAACGAUGAGGAGGUAAAGAAUGCUCUGGUAACAGGAGGUCAAGACUGGUGCCAGCAUCCGCGUAAUACCAGCUCCUGGAGUGUCUAUGAUGAUUGCUGCAGUUAAAGAGUUCGUAGUCGGGCUGCGUGACUGGCGUGAAAGGCUUCUUUCAAGGGGGGCACAGCGCGGGGAAAGCAGAGGAUAAGGAGCGUUUUGGGGCCAGGUUAUUAAGCGACGAGAGGUGAAAUUUGAUGACUCGCUUAGGAGGAACAGAGGCGAAAGCCUGGCCAGGGCGAAUCCGAUGAUAAAGGACGUAGGCUAGAGGAUCGAAGACGAUUAGAGACCGUUGUAGUUCUAGCAGUAAACGAUGCCGAUGCCGUGGUGCGUGGCGACGCGGAGGAGAAAUUGAGUAGGGCCCUGGGGAGAGUACACGGCAAGCGAGAAAUUUAAAGGAAAUUGACGGAAGAACACCACAAGGAGUGGAGUGUGCGGCUUAAUUUGACUCAACGCGGGACAGCUUACCAGGCCCGACGACCGCACGAGUGUUGUACACGAUAGGUCGAAGAGUGGUGCAUGGCCGUUAACGACAAGUGGGGUGACCUUUGGGUUAAGUCCGGGAAGUAGUGAGACCCCUGCCUGUCCGGCGGACAGGACAGGUGCUCAAAGCACAGGAAGGAAGGGUCAAGAACAGGUCAGUGAUGCCCUUAGAUGGCGUGGGCUGCACGCGCACUACAGUGGUCACAGAAAGAAUCGCGGAGAGACAAUGGUGAUCGAGAGGGAAUGAGCUUUGCAAGAGGCUCAGGAACGAGGAAUUGCUGUAAUC
This 1183-nucleotide ribosomal RNA is filed under the name Heterosporis anguillarum. RNAcentral describes it as "SSU rRNA". It matches the Rfam family "Microsporidia small subunit ribosomal RNA", at positions 4 to 1145 of the family's 1311-position model. Lineage: Eukaryota; Fungi; Microsporidia; Pleistophoridae. The record is from RNAcentral.